UACGUAGGGGGCAAGCGUUGUCCGGAAUCAUUGGGCGUAAAGCGCGCGUAGGCGGCCCGGUAAGUCCGUUGUGAAAGUCAAAGGCUCAACCUUUGAACGCCGAUGGAUACUGCCGGGCUAGAGUCCGGAAGAGGCGAGUGGAAUUCCUGGUGUAGCGGUGGAAUGCGCAGAUAUCAGGAGGAACACCAAUAGCGAAGGCAGCUCGCUGGGACGGUACUGACGCUGAGGCGCGAAAGCCAGGGGAGCGAACGGG
This 253-nucleotide ribosomal RNA is filed under the name uncultured bacterium. RNAcentral's name for it is "partial 16S ribosomal RNA". It matches the Rfam family "Bacterial small subunit ribosomal RNA", at positions 524 to 776 of the family's 1533-position model. The record is from RNAcentral.